This is a non-coding RNA of Arachis ipaensis, 667 nucleotides long. Lineage: Eukaryota; Viridiplantae; Streptophyta; Magnoliopsida; Fabales; Fabaceae. The record is from RefSeq and is a predicted model, not a curated record.
AGGACCCAACUCUCUUGAAGGAGAAGGUUAAUCUUGUCUCUUUGGACCUUGGGUGUGGUUGUGUAUGUGUGAAUAUUGGAGCUUGAUUGGUGAUUUUGGAAAGCUUAAAAAGGGAUUUGGUGGUGAAAAAUCUGUUCUUGGAGGUGUUGAGGCCUUGAGAGCUUGAGGAAAAGUGGUUUGGAAGUGCUCAGGUUGAGCUUGGAAAAUCGGCUAAGGUAUGGUUUCGGUUUCCCAUAUCUAAUUUGUAAUGUGGUAGGAAAUACUUAGGCUAGAGGCCCUAAGAUAGGCAUUGAAUUGUUGAUGUUGUUAAAUGGUUGAUAUAUAUGAUGUGGUCAUAAAUGUGAUGAUGAUUAUUUAUGCCUUAAUGUAAUGUAUGAGAAAUAUGCAUGUUGUGAUAUAUGCUUGAUGGUUGAUUAUGGUUGAAUUGUGGGUGGAACCAUGUUAAUGGUGAGUAUGAUAUUGAUUGUGUACAAUGAUGAUUUAUUGGAAUUGGUGUUGUUAAAAAUUGGCAUGAGGAAGAGUAUAUAAUAUGUCAAUGUGUUUGAGUUUGAGCCACUUGGGUGAAGUGGGUUAAAAUGAUGGGAUAGUGAUUUUGUAAAUUGUGGUAAUGUGUCAAUGUGUGAGUUGAGGAGGCUUGAUGUUGAAUUUGAUAUAUUUUGAUUGAUUU